AAGGUGGAGGAGGGGAGAAUUCCCUCUCUGCUUGAGCUGAGAUCUCGUCUUCUCCUGCCCUUGGACAUGUGAGCUUCUGGUUCCAGGGCCUUCAGACUCCAGCUGGAACCCACACAAUUGGGUCCCCCAGUUCUCGAGCCUUCAGAUUUGGACUGGAACUAAACCACUGGCUUCCCUGGGCCUCCAGCUUGCAGAUAACAGAUCAUGGGACUUCUCAAGCUCCACAAUCGUGUGCACCUCCUAUCAUCAGUGAAUGCUCUGAAGUGGGAAGGAGAAGUUCAGAGUGCUGAUGGUCACAGAGAUCUUCCAUUCCUGAAUCCUAUCACCUUCUCUUCACAACAACUUGGAGAAGAUCCAGAGAGUUGUGGACCCACGGAGGAGACAUCUGGUAAGGGAGCACGGGUUAUACUAUUAAUGCCAUCCCCUGGGGAACUGGACCAGACCAUGUGCCCUGAUGGAGGCAAGCCCAGAGCAGGCUGAGCUGCUUCCUCCAUCUUUCGCCUUUAGACUGGCCUCCAUAAGUCCUCUGCCACCAUUUAGGGGAGAGAUUAAUGCCCAUCCCACGAAACUGAAUCUCAAGAAAGAAUCAAAUGAUGUCCAUAGACCCAUGACCCAGUGCAAAGCUCUGGCCCUGAAAACUGCCCCAGCCUUGGAGGAGGGCGAGAAACCUGAGUCUCCUUCACCAGCAACUCCUUUAUCCACCAGCCUCUUGGGAAUUCAGUUACCUUGAGCCACCACAGGAGAGUUCACCCACCCCCCAGGAACUGAGGCCCAGGAUAUCUGAGCUUUGAUUCCUCCUGAAGUUACCUUUUCUGACUGUAUUCAUUCAGGUCUCUGUGAAUGGCGACAUUGCAUUUUAGCUUACUGUAGGCUCAGGAAGGUCCCAUUCCUACUGGGAACAAUCUCAAAAAGCAAAUAAAUAAAUAUGAAGUACAAUAAAAAGCAAGCCAAAUUCCAAUCAAUGUAACAGCAGACAGGUGCACCCCUGAUUGCAUUGAGUGGCAUCAAAUUAGGUGUGUUGCCUUUAGCGUGAUAAUCUUGACCUAGAGAACAUUUAUGUAUAAGCAACAGGCAGCAUCAACCUCCAGUCAACACAGAAUGAGGCCAAAUGUGUAAAAUCUCCUUUGCACUUUUGCCUUUGAAAGAAGAAUGAUGCUUAAAAGGCCCAAUUAAUUUGGAGUUCUAUCCCAGGAUAGAGUCAAUUGGGGUAAAUAAAUAACCCAUGUAAGCAGAAUGAAGUCAGAAAUGCUUCUCACUGGUGACUCUCUUUCACUGCUGGGAAUGGAGUUUUCUAAUACGAAAGUGAGUUACUGUAGGAUAUUUAGCUGGGAUGUUCAGCUCAUCCUGAUAACAUGAAUUCUCUUGAGCACGCUGGGAGGGAGGGAGCCCACCAGGACGUGUCCCCCCAUUUAACGCAUCACUGGCACACAAUUGCCCGUCCCAGCUCCUGCGUUC
Long non-coding RNA from Equus caballus (horse), 1455 nucleotides. The record is from Ensembl. NCBI's taxonomy places the organism in Eukaryota, Metazoa, Chordata, Mammalia, Perissodactyla, Equidae.